RNAcentral lists this transfer RNA (73 nucleotides) under Stegodyphus mimosarum. It matches the Rfam family "tRNA". From Rfam's summary of the family: Transfer RNA (tRNA) molecules are approximately 80 nucleotides in length. Their secondary structure includes four short double-helical elements and three loops (D, anti-codon, and T loops). Further hydrogen bonds mediate the characteristic L-shaped molecular structure. tRNAs have two regions of fundamental functional importance: the anti-codon, which is responsible for specific mRNA codon recognition, and the 3' end, to which the tRNAs corresponding amino acid is attached (by aminoacyl-tRNA synthetases). tRNAs cope with the degeneracy of the genetic code in two manners: having more than one tRNA (with a specific anti-codon) for a particular amino acid; and 'wobble' base-pairing, i.e. permitting non-standard base-pairing at the 3rd anti-codon position. The record is from Rfam by way of RNAcentral. Lineage: Eukaryota; Metazoa; Arthropoda; Arachnida; Araneae; Eresidae.
ACCUUCGUGGUGUAGCGGUCAGCACUCUUGACGGGUAAUCGAGAAGUCCGUGGUUCGAUUCCCAGCGAAGGCG